This 10169-nucleotide long non-coding RNA is filed under the name Setaria viridis. RNAcentral's name for it is "long non-coding RNA (SVIR_LNC007678)". Lineage: Eukaryota; Viridiplantae; Streptophyta; Magnoliopsida; Poales; Poaceae. The record is from RNAcentral.
AAAGAUGUAUAAGAUCCUCUGGAGAAACCACACCGAGGAUGAAGCAACAUGGGAAACAGACGAAUAUCUGAACAAGCAUUUUCCAGGUUUUCUAUCCCCUCAAGGAGGUAAGGAUAGCACACCCCCUUGAUCUCUGAAUCUCGGGACGAGAUUCUUUUUAAGAGGGGUAGGCUGUAACGACCGACCCCUCAACCUUCCCGAGUUAAUCUUGAUCAAAGCCCUUGAUCCUAGUCAUCUGUCUUGCUUGACCGCGCCUAAGUGCUCAGCUAUCCGCCUGGUCCCGACCCCUGAGAUCCGACCCCUUCCCGCUUCGCUCCUCUCCCGACCCCGGCGAGCUCAGCCCACCGUCGGAUUCUGCUAAUCUUCCUCCACCAUCCGAUCUAUCCACCGGUGGACCCGUGAGAUCUUUUCCAGAUCCCCCGCGACAGCUGCACUCGAGUUGCAUGGAUGCUUCAGAGUCUUCCUGCCGCGUGGCUCGUCUUCUCCGACGCCUGCCGCUCAGUUUUGUCUCUGGCCAGCGACCGAGUGGGUUCCCGCGCCCCCUUUCCCCAAUGGCAGCGGCAGCCCUCUGCACCCCUUUCUGCAGAGCCUCGCCUCCCGCGCCCAUCAUCACGCCGCCAGAUCCCGGCCCCAGAGCCUAAUGUCGCCCGUCUUUUCCGUCCCUUCAGCCACAGUCGUGCCGCCUGGUCACCGCUACCCGACGAUUCCUCCACUGCCAAUCCCGACCGCGGCCGCGACAGUUCCUUUCCCCCGCUCUGUCAGAAGCCGCCCGACAAUCUGUUGUUCCGCGCUCUCCCCCGCGCCCGCGUCCGCCUGUCUUCUCACCUGUGCGCCCUCGAUUCUAGCGCCGUUAAGCCGGUCGCUUCUAUCAAAUCUUCCGCACGACGACACCCGCUUUCCGCCAAAUCUCAACCACCAGUCUACCCGCUCCUACGCCGCCCUGACGGCAGAACGCAAUGAUCGCUGGCGUCACCCCCGGAGUUCUGCACCACCGCCCUCUUCGCUCAAUCGCCGCCCCGGCAGAGCACUCCAUUGCCUCUCCCCGGCCUUCGCGUCGCUCCCCUUCUCUCUCUCCGCGCUGUUUCCUUUCCUCUGCUCCAGUAGCUAUAAAAGGAAUGCCCCCAUCGCCUGAGUUCCCUCCGCCCUUGUUGCCUUCAGCCUUCUCUAGCUCCCUGCUCAAGCUCCUAGCGCCACCCACCCAAUUCUUGAGGAGUUCUUCUCUCAGUUCUCUCUCAGUUUUCUCCAAGUCACCCAGCAGCUUGCUCCUCCGUGCUGCGUAAAAGCUCUCUUGUGAUCCGCAGGAAGCAGCGCCGCCGCCGGAGCAUUGCCGGUCUUAGCUUCUGUUCAAACCUUAGUCCCUCCGCCCAAAGUCCGCUUCUUUCCGACCCCAAGCUUUCCUUUCAGGAAAAAGGUGAGUUGCCGACCCCAGUCCGCCUCGCCCGACCCCUCCUAUUCGCCCGACCCCUCCUAUUCGCCCGACCCCGGUUCCGUCUCGCCCGAUCCUAUCUGUUCCGCCGACCCUCAUCCGCCUCACCCGAGGGCUUGGCUGUGAUCUUUUUCUUCAACUCGAGGGUGUAUGUGUAAAACUUGGAAACCCUUCAGCGCUUGCGUCUAAGGACCCCCAGUUUAUCACAUCCUCUAGUUCAAGGAUCAGACCACUAGUUCCUUUCCUACCCUUACCUCUUGAUCAUCAUCAGCUCUCUCGAACCACCAUAACCUCCUACUCUUUGUCGCAAGUUUCUGGGCUCAGGCGAGCCAGUGUUGCUGUUGAAAUAACCGUCUAUGCUAAGCCUUGCAUUGCAUUCGUGUAGAGCUGCACCUCGCCAACAGCUUCUACGAGCUUCACCCGGCGCCAGAAGAAGAAGCUGUAGCCGAGCUCCUGUCCUCCGAAGCCGAAGUCGCCCCCGAAGUCGAGCAGUUUCUGUCCUCUUUGCUUGAAGGCAAGCCCCGGUUGCAUGAAAAUCCUACGUGUUUUGCCAGACUUGCGCAUGCCUUCUGUAACAUGCUUGUGCAUUUACGUAUAGGAGUUGUGUGAAACCCUAGAUGCAUGACUUAGUUAUCCCAGUGAUCUGAGCACUAGCUGUUGGACCGAGUAGCUGCAUUGCUUAACUAGGAGACGGUAAAAGUUGAGUGAUUUCCUAUCACUCGCGAGUUGUAGGAGUUGCAUGUUUACUCUCCUGUUAUAACUAUAAGGACGAUGGACGGGGCAGGGUUUUGGUAACUCUUUGGUGGUCGGAUGGUUGCCCCGUCUGUCUAUGAAAUCUUGCUAAGGCCCGACAGUGGUGGUGUUUGUGAUCAAGUGUUUGAAAGUACUAGCCUCAUACUUAGUAUGGGAUGAGGAAGCCUAGUACCAGAUUGAACCUAGACGUGAGCGGUCGCCCCAUUGUUCUUGGAACGGAGUUUCCCCUGCUGGUUGUCGCACGUGGUGGCAAGCGUGGUCACGGAACGGCAGAGGCCGGGUCUGUGGAACCUUGCACCAAAGGAAAUGGGCCCGACACGGGUUAGGGGAUUGAUGGGGAAGGCCGACACAAGAAGCGACCUCCGGGUGCGCGGAUGUCGUGAGGCUAGGUUCACCAUGCAUGGUUAAAGAACUCGAAUCGAUUCGUCUGCCUCUCACAGUUUGAGAUUGCUUGAUCGCUAUGUCACCCUGAGUAAAUGAGGAAUCUGAUGAUGGCAAUGUUUGUUGUUAUAUCUACACAUUUUGUUUGGUUCUAUGAAGUCUUAGAAUAGGUGUCACAACCUAGACUGGUAAAUGAACCUAGAACUGGAGCUAAAACUUGAAAAUAGGGUAACUUAGUGCUUUUGGCAAACCAACCCCUCAGCCAAACAGCCUGCAUGUCUAGAAGGAGGAGUAGCCCUUACUCCUAUCGGUUAAGUCUUGUUGAGCUUAGUAGCUCAGCCUUGUUGUGGCUCCUAUUUUUCAGGUGAAGUUGCUGCUUCCGACCCCUCUCUGGUUGGUGCUUGGCCGCCCCAGCUCCCGCCAGGCUGGACGGUCGAGUGGGAUCCUUCCUCGGACGGCGAGGAGAGGAGCCAGUGAUAUCUCGGUUGGCCUCACCAGGGAUGUCCGACCCCGACGAAGUUUUCCGCUAGUGUUUUCUCUGUUGUUUCUUGAAAACUUGUAAAACUCCGAUGUUGGAUUUUAUGGCCAAACUAAAUGGGUAAAGCUCGUUCAACUCAGUGGACUUGUUGUAUUCUCUGUAACCACUCACCUUCGUGUGGGUUUGCUAAACUCGAUCCUGUUUAAGUGGUUAAAUCGGAUGAAAUCCGACGGCACUUCGUAUUAACUCGGUUUAGGCAGGAGUGUCGCAUAUUAGGCGGCUUAACCCUGCUUAAUCAAGCUAAUCCGAGGUGGUUCCGCCACAGCUGGUAUCAGAGCCGUGUUUAGCAUUUCAGAGAACCCAACAAGCCCUAUACACUUCUUUGAAUGGGAUAAAAGUUGCAAGAAACUUUUGAAAAAUCUCGUACGAUCGUUAAGGAUGACUUAGUGCGAGAGGCCCUAGGGGAUUUUGGGGUUGUUUUAGGUGACUAAUAAGUAUUUGGUUAUUUUGCUAACCCUUCCAGCACUUCGCCACGUCUAUCAUACAUGUGCCGAGUUCCGCAUCGCGAGCAUGCGAGGGUUGAUAGGGAGCUCCAUUCAAAGGACCCUAUCUUCGCGGUUGUUUUCGCCCACGUCUAUUACACGUGCGCAGGUUCCGUAUGUGUUCCAUACGAAGGUUGGUACGGUUCGAUUCCAACGAACCUAUCAGCACGGUUGUUUCGCCAUGUUUGUCAUACGUGCGCCGAUUCCGCAUCACGAGUAUGCGAAGGGUUAUAUGGUUCCAUUCAAAGGGGACCUAUUUCCACGGUUGAGUGCUGUCCAUGCAGCCUUAAACGCAUGGGUGUCGUUCCUAUAGUGAGCGGUAAUGUUUGGGAACGCUUUCGUGGGUGCUGGCAUGAAAGGUUCGUGUGUGGUGUUUUCUGCAGGUUGCUAACCGCGUUCGUAUAAGAGACGUUACUAGAACCGACUAGUUAUUAUAGGGAGAGACGUAUUAUUGCCUUGUCACCGGCGCUGACCGCGUAAGACCCAAAGUUCGGGCAGUUGUUUUUGGUUAAGAGUAAGGUAGGCCGUGCAUGCGUCAUAUCUAAAAGGUUGUACGGUUCCCUUUCUCAACAGCAACCCUGUUCGAAAGAGUUCUUCUGGAUCUAAGGAUUUCUAAUUUCUCUUAGUUGCUCUCGGUUGAAAACCGUAUGCUUCUCUAUCCGACCCCUAACCCUUGGAAUCUAUCUCACGUGGUUUUCGGUUUUCUUAGUUCCAGAUGGCUGUUCCCGGACAUGUUGUUUUUGGAGCGGACGGUACCUUCCAAUCGACGUGCCUGCACUUCGAGGGGUUUCCCGCGAUUCUGUGGGAUACGCUGAAGUGGUUUGGGUACCAGUCCCCGCCCUUGUAUGCCGGGCGGUUAUAUCUGGAACAGGGCAUUCAGACGUGCCAAGUGCAAGCGUUGGUACCACCUCCCCUUGCACGGCCCGACUGGCCCUCUCUUGGCAUAAUAGCCUAUGGUCUCGCUCCGGAAGAUACAUGGGAGUCUGCCGCCCUUCAGUUGCUCACCCAGUUCUGUCAGCUGCAUACCGUGGAAAUCACGCUAGACCCGAUCGGCCUCUUCCCCGUCAGGAACCGGUUGGACCCGGCAUGGCUUGAUCGCAUCGGGAACAUCGAGGUGUUAGCCACCACCUGCGCCAUGGUCACCAUCUCCACCAACAUCCGGUGCAUGGCCGCUCUCUACCGGUUGAUAGAGCUUCAAGGGAGAGCCAUGACCCUUUUCGCCUGGACGGCAGCAGAUACCCACGGUUACCUCCAGGCAGCAAGAAGAGAUAUGGUAGGCCAAACCUACCAGCUAAUCCAACGUGGUAUCCAGAUUCACGAUAUGCAAGAUCGGAUCUCCGAGCUAGAAGGAGAAGUCGCCGACCUCGUGGACGGCAUGAUAGAGCUCUCGGAGGAAAAGAUGGAGGUGGAAAUGGAGUUGGCAGUUGCCAAUGCCCACCUGGAGGAGCACCAAGCCGAGCUCGAAGAUAUGCAUGCCCUCAACAUGCAGCUCGAAGCUCAGGAGGACCCUGAGGAAGAUGAGGGAGCGUCCAGCAUGGAUAUAGAGGAAGAUGGUGCCCCUUCUCCGACUCAUAGUGUCCAUUGGUAGAUUAAGGGUUCUCAGGGAACCAUCUUUUUGUUGUACUCCUCGGCAGCCUAGAUUUUGGAAAAGUUGUAAUAGGUUAGCCUCGAGUUGAGUGCUCCCUGUGUUGAAACACCGUUGUAUAUAAAGUUAACCCUGGUGCAUAGCUUUCUCAUCUUUGUAUGGUGUGGAUGCUAGGUUGAGAAAGUUGCGCCGUGACCAUAUGCUGUGUUCUGAGGACCUGUUCUUGGGCCGACCCCAGCUUGUGAAACCGAGUGCGCCGACCCUUUGAGGCAGUUUCCGCCUCGUCCGACCCUUUUCAAGUACGGACCGUGUCCGACCCCUUGGUUUGAGUGGAUCAGAUCAUAGGAGUCUGUAUGUGGCAUGUGUUGCCUGAAGUGGAGUUUUCCAUAGAGUUGAUUCCUGGCACAGCCCCGAUAUCUAAGAGACCCUAUCGGAUGCCACCCGCUGAGUUAGCCGUGUUGAAGACCCAGUUGCAUGAUCUGUUGGAAAAGGGCUUCAUUCGACCCAGUACAUCAUCUUGGGGUUGCCCCGCCCUGUUUGUGAAGAAGAAGGAUGGCAGUCUACGUAUGUGUGUGGAUUACCAACCCCUCAAUGCUGUGACAGUCAAGAACAAGUAUCCGCUGCCACGCAUUAAUGUCUUGUUCGAUCAGUUAGCCGGAGCAAAAGUGUUCUCCAAGGUCGAUCUUCGUUCUGGUUAUCAUCAAACAAAGAUUCGACCCUGCGACAUACCCAAGACAGCUUUCUCUACCAGAUAUGGACUGUACGAGUACCUAGUCAUGUCCUUUGGACUCACCAAUGCACCCGCCUAUUUCAUGUACCUUAUGAACUCGGUGUUUAUGCCUGAGCUGGACAAGUUUGUAGUGGUGUUCAUUGAUGAUAUCCUAGUGUACUCGAAGAACAAGGAAGAGCAUCCCGACCAUCUUCAUAUAGUUCUCCAACGGCUGAGAAAUCACCAGCUCUAUGCCAAGUUCUUCAAGUGUGAGUUUUGGUUAGAUAGUGUCAAGUUUCUGGGACACACUAUCUCCAAGGAUGGUAUCACCGUGGAUCCCAGUAAGGUGCAAGAAGUCAUGGAAUGGAAGUCUCCUGCCUCAGUACACCAGAUCAGGAGUUUCCUUGGAUUGGCAGGUUACUAUCGGCGUUUCAUACCGGAUUUCUCCAAGAUAGCUAAGCCGAUGACCGAGUUACUGAAGAAAGAGGUCAAAUUUGUGUGGGACACCAAGUGUGAAGAGGCCUUCAAGACCCUGAAGCACUUGCUGACCACCGCUCCAGUUUUGGCUCAGCCCGACCCCUCUAGGCCGUAUGACGUAUACUGUGACGCCUCUAGCACUGGACUCGGAUGUGUUCUCAUGCAAGACACUCGAGUCAUUGCCUAUGCCUCACGUGCGUUAUGACCUCAUGAGCUAAGCUACCCGACACAUGACCUUGAGUUAGCAGCAGUGAUACAUGCCUUGAAGAUAUGGAGGCACUACCUAAUGGGAGCUCACUGCAACAUCUACACCGACCACAAGAGGCUCAAGUACAUCUUCACUCAGACCGACCUCAACAUGCGUCAAAGAAGAUGGCUGGAGUUGAUAAAGGAUUAUGAAUUGGAAGUGCACUAUCAUCCUGGCAAAGCCAAUGUGGUAGCCGAUGCCCUCAGCCGCAAACCCCAUUGCAACUGCUUGUUGUCAACAGCCUUCACCAAGACUCUGUGUCACGAGAUGGGAAAACUAAGUCUGGAGAUUAUUCCUCAAGGAACCCUUGGUCACACCAUCCUUGACUCAGUUUUGGAAGACCGAAUCCGGUCAGCGCAAGUAAGAGAUACGGAAGUACAACGGAUCAUCGGUAAGAUCUCAGUAAAGGAUGAGGGAUAUAAGCAUUUCCGUCGGGACAAAACAGGAGGUGUGUAUUAUGGAAACCGGCUAGUAGUACCCGCCGACCCCGAGUUGAGGAAGCAAAUCCUAGAUGAAGCUCAUCUCUCCAAGUUCUCGAUCCAUCCUGGCAGCAAUAAGAUGUACCAUGAUCUCCGUCAAACCUUUUGGUGGAGUGGAAUGAGGCCGGAGAUAGCUCGUUAUGUUUCAGAAUGUGACAUCUGUCAACGUGUCAAGGCCAGUCAUUUGAAGGUAGCAGGAACCUUGCAGCCGCUACCUAUUCCCUCUUGGAAAUGGGAAGACAUCAGCAUGGACUUCAUAAUUGGACUACCCCUUACAAAACAACGGUAUGAUUCCAUCUGGGUUAUAGUGGACCGUCUGACCAAGACAGCACAUUUCCUUCCUGUUCGCACCACCUACACAGUCAAGCAGUAUGCAGAGUUGUACCUCGACCGUAUAGUUUCCCUACAUGGUGUACCCAAGACUAUCGUCUCUGAUCGAGGAGUUCAGUUUGUGGCACGUUUUAGGGAGCAGCUACAAGCAUCUAUGGGCACCAAGCUCAUCCGAAGCUCGACCUAUCAUCCUCAAACUGAUGGCCAAACCGAGAGAGUCAACCAGAUUCUUGAAGACAUGUUAAGAGCGUGUGUUAUCCACUAUGAUAAAAACUGGGACAAGUGUCUGCCCUUGGCAGAAUUCUCCUACAAUAACAGCUACUAGGCCAGUUUGAAGAUGGCACCGUUUGAAGCCCUGUAUGGCCGAAGAUGCAGGACACCCUUGAACUGGUCCCAACUAGGGGAAAGACAGGUCUAUGGCCCUGACUUAGUGGCAGAAGCCGAAGAGCAAGUGAAGGUAAUUCAAGCAAAUCUCAAGGCUGCCCAAUCUCGACAGAAGAGUUACUCCGACCAGCGGAGAAGACCCCUGCAGUUCGACCUUGGUGAUCAUGUGUACCUUCGAGUCUCCCCGACCAAAGGAGUGCAGCGGUUUGGAAUAAAAGGCAAGUUAGCUCCCCGCUAUGUUGGCCCUUAUGAGGUUGUGGAGAUAUGUGGACCCGUUGCUUACCGGAUCCAACUCCCAGAACAGCUAUCGGCCAUACAUGAUGUUUUCCAUGUGUCUCAACUGAAGAAAUGUGUCCGAGUUCUAGCAGAGAUGUUAGAGCAAGGACAGCUUCAGGUAGAGCCUGACCUGACCUACGCCGAGUACCCAGAUCGAGUUCUUGAACAAAAGGAAAGGCACACCCGACGCCAAGUGGUAAAGAUGUACAAGAUCCUCUGGAGAAACCACACCGAGGAUGAAGCAACAUGGGAAACAGACAAAUAUCUGUACAAGCAUUUUCCAGGUUUUCUAUCCCCUCAAGGAGGUAAGGACAGCACACCCCCUUGAUCUCUGAAUCUCGGGACGAGAUUCUUUUUAAGAGGGGUAGGCUGUAACGACCGACCCCUCAACCUUCCUGAGUUAAUCUUGAUCAGAGCCCUUGAUCCUAGUCAUCUGUCUUGCUUGACCGCGCCUAAGUGCUCAGCUAUCCGCCUGGUCCCGACCCCUGAGAUCCGACCCCUUCCCGCUUCGCUCCUCUCCCGACCCCGGCGAGCUCAGCCCACCGUCGGAUUCUGCUAAUCUUCCUCCACCAUCCGAUCUAUCCACCGGUGGACCCGUGAGAUCUUUUCCAGAUCCCCCGCGAAAGCUGCACUCGAGUUGCAUGGCUGCUUCAGAGUCUUCCUGCCGCGUGGCUCGUCUUCUCCGACGCCUGCCGCUCAGUUUUGUCUCUGGCCAGCGACCGAGUGGGUUCCCGCGCCCCCUUUCCCCAAUGGCAGCGGCAGCCCUCUGCACCCCUUUCUGCAGAGCCUCGCCUCCCGCGCCCAUCAUCACGCCGCCAGAUCCCGGCCCCAGAGCCUGAUGUCGCCCGUCUUUUCCGUCCCUUCAGCCACAGUCGCGCCGCCUGGUCGCCGCUACCCGACGAUUCCUCCACUGCCAAUCCCGACCGCGGCCGCGACAGUUCCUUUCCCCCGCUCUGUCAGAAGCCGUCCGACAAUCUGUUGUUCCGCGCUCUCCCCCGCGCCCGCGUCCGCCUGUCUUCUCACCUGUGCGCCCUCGAUUCUAGCGCCGUUAAGCCGGUCGCUUCUAUCAAAUCUUCCGCACGACGACGCCCGCUUUCCGCCAAAUCUCAACCACCAGUCUACCCGCUCCUACGCCGCCCUGACGGCAGAACGCAAUGAUCGCUGGCGUCACCCCCGGAGUUCUGCACCACCGCCCUCUUCGCUCAAUCGCCGCCCCGGCAGAGCACUCCAUUGCCUCUCCCCGGCCUUCGCGCCGCUCCCCUUCUCUCUCUCCGCGCCGUUUCCUUUCCUCUGCUCCAGCAGCUAUAAAAGGAAUGCCCCCGUCGCCUGAGUUCCCUCCGCCCUUGUUGCCUUCAGCCUUCUCUAGCUCCCUGCUCAAGCUCCUAGCGCCACCCACCCAAUUCUUGAGGAGUUCUUCUAUCAGUUCUCUCUCAGUUUUCUCCAAGUCACCCAGCAGCUUGCUCCUCCGUGCUGCGUAAAAGCUCUCUUGUGAUCCGCAGGAAGCAGCGCCGCCGCCGGAGCAUUGCCGGUCUUAGCUUCUGUUCAAACCUUAGUCCCUCCGCCCAAAGUCCGCUUCUUUCCGACCCCAAGCUUUCCUUUCAGGAAAAAGGUGAGUUGCCGACCCCAGUCCGCCUCGCCCGACCCCUCCUAUUCGCCCGACCCCGGUUCCAUCUCGCAUGAUCCUAUCUGUUCCGCCGACCCUCAUCCGCCUCGCCCGAGGGCUUGGCUGUGAUCUUUUUCUUCAACUCGAGGGUGUAUGUGUAAAACUUGGAAACCCUUCAGCGCUUGCGUCUAAGGACCCCCAGUUUAUCACAUCCUCUAGUUCAAGGAUCAGACCACUAGUUCCUUUCCUACCCUUACCUCUUGAUCAUCAUCAGCUCUCUCGAACCACCAUAACCUCCUACUCUUUGUCGCAAGUUUCUAGGCUCAGGCGAGCCAGUGUUUCUGUUGAAAUAACCGUCUAUGCUAACCCUUGCAUUGCAUUCGUGUAGAGCUGCACCUCGCCGACGGCUUCUACGAGCUUCACCCGGCGCCAGAAAAAGAAGCUGUAGCCGAGCUCCUGUCCUCCGAAGCCGAAGUCGCCCCCGAAGUCGAGCAGUUUC